This 413-nucleotide ribosomal RNA is filed under the name uncultured bacterium. RNAcentral's name for it is "bacterial SSU rRNA". It matches the Rfam family "Bacterial small subunit ribosomal RNA", at positions 352 to 782 of the family's 1533-position model. The record is from RNAcentral.
CAGUUGGGAAUCUUGGACAAUGGGGGAAACCCUGAUCCAGCCAUGCCGCGUGAGUGAUGAAGGCCUUCGGGUUGUAAAACUCUUUCGACGGGGACGAUAAUGACGGUACCCGUAGAAGAAGCUCCGGCUAACUUCGUGCCAGCAGCCGCGGUAAUACGAAGGGGGCUAGCGUUGUUCGGAAUUACUGGGCGUAAAGCGCGCGCAGGCGGUCUUCCAAGUCAGUGGUGAAAGCCUGGAGCUCAACUCCAGAACUGCCAUUGAAACUGUUGGACUUGAGUACGAGAGAGGUGAGUGGAAUUCCCAGUGUAGAGGUGAAAUUCGUAGAUAUUGGGAAGAACACCAGUGGCGAAGGCGGCUCACUGGCUCGUAACUGACGCUCAGGCGCGACAGCGUGGGGAUCAAACAGGAUUAGA